AUUGAACGCUGGCGGCAUGCCUUACACAUGCAAGCCGAACGGCAGCACGGGAGCUUGCUCCUGGUGGCGAGUGGCGAACGGGUGAGUAAUACAUCGGAACGUACCCUGAAGUGGGGGAUAACGUAGCGAAAGUUACGCUAAUACCGCAUAUUCUGUGAGCAGGAAAGAGGGGGAUCGCAAGACCUCUUGCUUUAGGAGCGGCCGAUGUCGGAUUAGCUAGUUGGUGAGGUAAAGGCUCACCAAGGCGACGAUCCGUAGCGGGUCUGAGAGGAUGAUCCGCCACACUGGGACUGAGACACGGCCCAGACUCCUACGGGAGGCAGCAGUGGGGAAUUUUGGACAAUGGGCGCAAGCCUGAUCCAGCCAUGCCGCGUGAGUGAAGAAGGCC
RNAcentral lists this ribosomal RNA (388 nucleotides) under uncultured bacterium. RNAcentral's name for it is "bacterial SSU rRNA". It matches the Rfam family "Bacterial small subunit ribosomal RNA", at positions 30 to 416 of the family's 1533-position model. The record is from RNAcentral.